AGCACGCUCCUUAAAUCCAUCAACAGAACUAUACUUGUAUAGCUCAGCGACUUUUUCGGUUGUUAAUUGUUGAUGCUUGAGUCAUAAGUGUGCGACAAUAUCCUACUUGCAGCUCCAAAUGGUAAAUGCAAAUCUCCUUACUUUGUGUUUAUUUGGUUCGGCGAACAUU
This 169-nucleotide small nucleolar RNA is filed under the name Trialeurodes vaporariorum (greenhouse whitefly). RNAcentral describes it as "small nucleolar RNA SNORA53". It matches the Rfam family "Small nucleolar RNA SNORA53". Rfam says of the family: The snoRNA ACA53 belongs to the H/ACA family of pseudouridylation guide snoRNAs. The record is from RNAcentral. Lineage: Eukaryota; Metazoa; Arthropoda; Insecta; Hemiptera; Aleyrodidae.